RNAcentral lists this unclassified non-coding RNA (270 nucleotides) under Hevea brasiliensis (rubber tree). Lineage: Eukaryota; Viridiplantae; Streptophyta; Magnoliopsida; Malpighiales; Euphorbiaceae. The record is from RNAcentral.
AGCAUUUGCCACAAGUAAAGAUCUGUCCAUAAGAUAGCAGUAUAUUUUCAGGCAUUUAAUGGCAGUACUUAUCUGGUUUUAAUAUUGCCUCACUUGUCAAAACUCAUCAAACUAUUCAAUCACCAUAACUUGCAAAUUAUCAUCAUUUGUAUCCCCGUUUAUUUUCUUUAUUUCGAUGCCUAUAGCUUUUUUUUCAUAUUUUUUUUUUAAUUUUUACAAAACCAUUUGAAAAAGCACAAUGGGAUGAGUUGUACUGCAAAUUCCUUAAUU